This 2998-nucleotide long non-coding RNA is filed under the name Piliocolobus tephrosceles (Ugandan red Colobus). Its description in RNAcentral is "lncRNA (ENSPTEG00000001789.1)". Lineage: Eukaryota; Metazoa; Chordata; Mammalia; Primates; Cercopithecidae. The record is from RNAcentral.
AUGUAAAAAUUAAAUAUAAGAAUAGUGAAAAAACAUUUGAAGUUACUUAAAAACACCAAUUGAGGCGUGACAUUUUUAUUCACUGAAACGUUUCCCACCUAUUCGUUGGAUCCAUAAAUUUAAAGUAUCAAAAAAUGCAUUACAAUCACGACUACGUACAAAUAAAUGGAAUGUCACUUGAGAAUAAAGUGAAAAUUGAGGAAUACUACUCGACACAAUCUGGUUUACGAAUCAUAUUAGGAAAAACAAACAGUUCGAAAAUAUAUGGAUAUUUUACUGUAUUAACUGAAGCAGAAAACGAUGAAGGCCUCCCACAUACAUUAGAACAUUUAAUAUUUUUAGGUUCUGAACGUUAUCCAUAUAAAGGUAUGUUAGAUUUACUUGCAUAUACAUGUUUGUCGGAUGGAACUAACGCAUGGACUGCCAUUGACCACACAUGUUAUACAAUAGAAACAUUUGGAGAAGAAGGUUUCGGAACUAUAUUACCUAUUUAUUUAGAAUUCAUUUUAAAUCCUAGUUUAGAUAAUAAAAGAUUUUUAACUGAAGUACAUCAUAUAUAUGAAAAUGGAACACAUAACGGUGUAGUAUAUUCAGAAAUGAAAUCUAUUGAAAACAAUUGUUCUAAUAUAGUUGAACGUAAUCUACUAAUGAAUUUAUAUCCAAACAAAAAAAGUGGGUACCGUUUCGAAACGGGUGGCACACUUAGUGGGUUAAGAAAAACUAAUAAUGAAAGAGUAAAAAGUUAUUUUUCCAAGUUUUAUAAACUUAAUAAUCUUGCUAUUAUUAUUUUUGGUAACUUUAAUAGUAAUGAAAUUUUAAAUAAAAUUCAUCUUUUUGAGGAUUACCAUUUGCAUAAGAAUCCGAACCAGAUGUACCCCGACGUGUUUCAUGGUGGGAAAAUAGGAUCUAAGUUUGACUCUACACUUGCAAAUGAAAAAAUAGAAACAAGUAGCAAUGUUAACGACAAUAUAGCCGCUAAAGAUGCGAAUGGCUCGAGUGGUUCGAAUGGCUCGAGUGGUUCGAAUGACUUGAAUGGCUCGAGUGGCUCGAAUGGCUCGAAUGGCUCGAAUGGCGCGAAUGGCUCGAAUGGCGCGAAUGGCAAUAGAAAUAAUAAACGAAAACGAUUGGCAUAUGAAACAAUCAAAGAUAUGUUCAUGCGAGAUGUGAAUAAUACAGAGAGACCAUGGAAUAGCCAAGAUACAAUUGAAAAAAUGACAACCACAAAAAUUAUUAAAAAACACUAUCCUUGUAAUAAUUUGAGUAAUGGUCAAGUAAGUAUAGGUUGGAGGGGAUGUAAAUGGAAUGAUUUUAAAACCAAAACAGCUUUAAUAAUGUUAGGAAUUUAUUUAACAGAUUCUACAACUUCGCCUAUAUGUAAAAAAUUAAUGGAUGACCCAUAUAAUACAUAUUGUAGUAAUAUUGAAUUCACAUUAGAUGAUUUGAAAGAAAAUUACUUUUCUAUUGACAUUUAUGAUGUUAUUUUUAAAGAAGAGUUUAAUCAUAGAAAUUAUAAGAAUAAGGAUGACGGUCAGAAGAAUGAGGAGGUUGAACAUAUUGGAGCUCGCAUAUCUAGUGUCGUAAAAAAUGGAUCUGCAAUAAGUAGUAGAAAUGAUAGAGAUGCCGAGGUGACUAGAGAUGCCGAGAUAGCUAACAUAUCUACAUGUGACAAUACCAAAUUAGAUAAAACAGCACUCCCUUGCAAUAACAACAAUAAAAUAUUCACCGAUGAAACAAAAAUGGACAUAGUAGGUCAAUUAGCUAGAGAUUGUAUAAAAGAAGUUUAUCAAAACGCACUAAACAUGAAUCAAUUAAAAAAUAUAAUUUUCAGGUCCUACUUACAAUACCUUGAAAGCUUAGAAACGACUCCACAAGAAGUAUUAAAUAAGUAUCUAAUAACAUAUUUUAUAUAUGGUAAAAAUAUAACCGAUUUUAAUGAAUGUUUGGAUCAAAAACAUACAUAUCAAAGUUUAUUAAAUGAAGAUGAACAAUAUUGGAAAAAAUUAUUAGAAUCUUAUUUUUUAAAAAAUCCAUUUGUUGAAGUAAGAUGCUACCCAAGCAUCAGAAGAUCAAAACAAAUAGAAAAUUUUGAAAAAUGGUUAAUGCAAAAAGAAAAAAUACAUUAUGGAGAAGAAAAAUUAAGAAAAAUGGUCCAAUACAUUGAAAGUAUAAAAAAUGGUGCAUACGACAUAGCAUAUGACUAUUUACAAUCUAAUAUACCUGCAUCAGAUCCAAAAAAGGUAAUCUUAGAUGUUAUAACGAUUGUAAGAAAUUUUGGUACUGCAUCUGUUAAUGAGCAUAUUUCUAUAGAGUUUAAUCAAAAGUCAAAACAUGCAGAUGCGCCACCCGAAUCGAAUCAUUUGGACAUGCCACCCGAAUCGAAUCAUUUGGACAUGCCACCCGAAUCGAAACGUUUGGACAUGCCACCCGAAUCGAAACGUUUGGACAUGCCACCCGAAUCGAAACGUUUGGACAUGCCACCCGAAUCGAAACGUUUGGACAUGCCACCCGAAGCAACAGAUGUAGAUAAGUUAGCCGAAUCAAACCAGUUGUACGAUAUAACAAACAAAAUAAAAGAACUACCCAUACCGGUCCAAGUAAGCAUAACUUCAUCUAAAUUUGUCACAAUUGAUGUAUUUAUAAACACAAGUAAUAUUGAUAAAGAACUAAGAAAAUACAUUCCUUUGUUAAGCUAUUUAUUAUUCGAAACAGACAUUAAUGUGAAUGAUAAUAAUUUAAAAUGUGAAUUAUUUAUAGAAGAAUUAAUUAAAAAUACAAUUUCAUAUGACUGUUCUUAUGGAUUAGGUUGUGAUGUAGAAAAUUUUAAAUCAGAUGGGAUGAACAACAUUAUGGUAGUAGAACUAAGUGGACUAUUAAAAAAAUAUGACGCUUUAUUUGAUUUAAUACUUUUAUCUAUAUUUCACAUGAAUUUAACUAUGGAGCGAGUUAAACUAAUUAUGAAAUCAAAGUAUCAAAAUUUAAUACAAAAUAAAAAUGAUCC